Cyprinodon tularosa is the source of this 198-nucleotide long non-coding RNA. RefSeq lists it as uncharacterized. The record is from RefSeq and is a predicted model, not a curated record. The transcript has 3 exons. NCBI's taxonomy places the organism in Eukaryota, Metazoa, Chordata, Actinopteri, Cyprinodontiformes, Cyprinodontidae.
GAGAUCAUCAACAACACCAGCCUGCAAACCGUAGCCUGUGACUCUGCACAAAAGGAAGACGAUGUUAACAGCAGACGAACAAUUGCUCUGCAGGCACUUCCCAUCUUCCUGCGUGAAGAUGCUGCUGGAUUUUUUAAGACCUGGAAUGCAGAAGACAUUGACCUGCCAGACCUCUCGGAUACAACUGUAGCUGUUCUC